RNAcentral lists this ribosomal RNA (337 nucleotides) under uncultured archaeon. RNAcentral's name for it is "partial 16S ribosomal RNA". It matches the Rfam family "Archaeal small subunit ribosomal RNA", at positions 133 to 475 of the family's 1478-position model. The record is from RNAcentral.
CGGAAAACUGGGGAUAAUACCCUAUAGGCUAUGGAUGCUGGAAUGCUUCGUAGUUGAAAGGUCCGCCGCUGUAGGAUGGGUCUGCGGCCGAUUAGGUUGUUGUUGGGGUAACGGCCCAACAAGCCUGUAAUCGGUACGGGUUGUGGGAGCAAGAGCCCGGAGAUGGAUUCUGAGACACGAAUCCAGGCCCUACGGGGCGCAGCAGGCGCGAAAACUUUACAAUGCGGGAAACAGUGAUAAGGGAACUCUGCGAGCUCGUAAAAUCGGGCUGUGCAUCAGUUUAAAUAACUGGUGAAGAAAGGGCCGGGCAAGACCGGUGCCAGCCGCCGCGGUAAUA